This 1724-nucleotide long non-coding RNA is filed under the name Aquila chrysaetos chrysaetos. RNAcentral describes it as "lncRNA (ENSACCG00020016413.1)". Lineage: Eukaryota; Metazoa; Chordata; Aves; Accipitriformes; Accipitridae. The record is from RNAcentral.
CGAACCGGCCGGCGUCGCCUCGCAGCGCCCGCUCGCUUCCCCGCUCGGGCAGAGGCGAGAUGCGGGGGGGGCCGUCGGCGCCGCCCGCUCCCCAAGCUCCGCCCGCUCCCGGCGGCGGCGGCGGCGGGAGCAGCUCCCCGGCCCGCCGGCGGCGGCUCCUCCCGGCCCAGAUUAUGGCCGCCGCCGCAUCCGCCCCGCGGCGGCCCGGGGAGGGGCGGCGGGCCGCGGCGCUCCGGCGCUCGCCCGCCUGUCAAAGCCUGUUAGCCCGCCGCCCGCCGCCGCCACCACAUCUCGCGAGAGGAGCGCCGGCUCCGCGGGCUGCGGCUGCUCCUUGACGUUGUCCGGGUGUAAACGGUCCGGAUGCGCGGCUCGGAUGAGCAAGUGCAAAGAUGAGAUGUCCGCCUGCGGGAAAGCGUGGACCAGUAAAUGCCGGGGAUGCACAGGAAUGCUUGCCCACCGAUACCUUGAAGGAGGAAUAAACGAGGAGAGCAGAAGUGGGUGGUCGGUUGAGCGCUGUUUCACCUUCCAGCCUCCAGAUCUCUCCCGAGUGUGCUGUAAAGAUCAUUGUCUCCUCGCAUAAUAGAUCUAAUGUCAGCCAUGCGCCUUUUUCUGUGUCUCUGUUGCAACUCUUUGCCCCUGUUCUCUUAAAUUGUACUCUUUCUCCAAAAGUAUACGUGGUUAGUUCUUUUAAAAAGGCAGUCGUUCUGCCUCCCCUCUCUUAGUGGAGCCUAAGUGUCUGGAUAAUCCAUUAAAGCAUGGGACGUUAGCCCUGACGCUGUGAAAAAGAAACCUCAGAUGCGGGUAAAAUCCUUCGGCUCCCAUAGCAAGAAAUUAGAAAGGGAUCCACCAACAGUUUUUCAUCAUGCUUUUUUAUUGUCUUUAUACUUGAAGGUAGUAGCUCCCAGAAUAGGAGGAGAGAUGGGCAACAGUUGCCAAAACAAUUUUACCUUACUUAGUUGCUAAAAAUCAUCAAGCAUUCACUUAAGUUAGUCCUCUCAAGCAAUGGCAUUUCUUUAUUUCAAAACAUUUUGGUUGGUACUUCUGGGUUCCACAUCUUUUUUCCUAAUGAUGUGCAGUUUUGUGUAUUUUUCCCCUCUGUCUACCAAAGUCUGAGUGCCAAAACAUCCAGUUUCUACCUCAACACGUCUUGACUAUUUUAUUUAAAUUAACAGCAAACUUGGUGACUUAAUCCAACAGAAAAGGAGUGGAGUUACAAAACAAAGCUUGCUUUUUCUUAACAGUUACUUAGAGGAAGAAGUAUUUCAAUUUUGGGGAUGUGUACAUGCAUAAAAGAGCUGAGGAUAUUUCAGUAGAUUGAAAAGAUGGGUACGCUGAUCCUUUCCUGUUCAAACACUGUUCUAGAAAAAGAACAAAAGUCACAUACUUCAAAAUUGUUUGGGAAAUUCCUUGAUGGACUCCAAAACUGCCAAGAGUAACAGAUUAAAAAAGACAGGAUUCAGCAAAUUUUCAGAGUGUAAAGAAUAAACAAAAAUCUGUGAGUGAACUGGAAAAUAAAAGAUUAAACCAUGGUGAAAUUUUUACUUUUUUCAGGGAGCAAGGACUUGAAAAAGAGUGGAUGGUAAAGAGAACAAGUCAGAAUAAAGGAUUUUGGUUCAGAAUUGAAAGCAAACAGCACUAGAACAGCAGAUGAUGUGCAAAGAAAAUCCUCCAGUGUAUGUUUUGCAUAAGGAGACACUGCAUGAUCAACACCUGCAGAGAAUGUC